Molecule: ribosomal RNA, 572 nt
Filed under: Odoribacter denticanis
Lineage: Bacteria; Pseudomonadati; Bacteroidota; Bacteroidia; Bacteroidales; Odoribacteraceae
Description: partial 16S ribosomal RNA
Rfam family: Bacterial small subunit ribosomal RNA
Source: RNAcentral
CACGCCGUAAACGAUGCUCACCGGCUCUAUGCGAUAAGACAGUAUGGGGCUAAUANGAAAUAAUUAAGUGAGCCACCUGGGGAGUACGUCGGCAACGAUGAAACUCAAAGGAAUUGACGGGGGCCCNCACAAGCGGAGGAACAUGUGGUUUAAUUCGAUGAUACGCGAGGAACCUUACCCGGGUUUAAAUGUAUGUNGCAUUAUGUAGAAAUACGUAUUUUCUUNGGAACUGCAUACAAGGUGCUGCAUGGUUGUCGUCAGCUCNUGCCGUGAGGUGNCGGGUUAAGUNCCAUAACGAGCGCAACCCUUAUGAUUAGUUGCUAACGGUUCAAGCCNAGCACUCUAUUCACACUGUCNCCGUAAGGUGCNAGGAANGAGGGGAUGAUGUNAAAUCAGCACGGCCCUUAUAUUCGGGGCUACACACNUGUUACAAUGGUCGGUACAGCGGGUUGNAUUUACGUGAGUAACAGCUAAUCCCAAAAAUCGGNCUCAGUUCGGAUUGGAGUCUGCAACUCNACUCCAUGAANGUUGGAUUCCUAGUAAUCGNACAUNAACCAUGGUGCGGUGAAUAC